AGCGAACGCUGGCGGCAGGCUUAACACAUGCAAGUCGAGCGGGCAUAGCAAUAUGUCAGCGGCAGACGGGUGAGUAACGGGUGGGAACGUACCUUUUGGUUCGGAACAACUGAGGGAAACUUCAGCUAAUACCGGAGAAGCCCUUACGGGGAAAGAUUUAUCGCCGGAAGAUCGGCCCGCGUCUGAUUAGCUAGUUGGUGAGGUAAUGGCUCACCAAGGCGACGAUCAGUAGCUGGUCUGAGAGGAUGAUCAGCCACAUUGGGACUGAGGCACGGCCCACACUCCUACGGGAGGCAGCAGUGGGGAAUAUUGGACAAUGGGCGCAAGCCUGAUCCAGCCGUGCCGCGUGAGUGAUGAAGGCCCUAGGGUUGUAAAGCUCUUUUGUGCGGGAAGAUAAUGACGGUACCGGAAGAAUAAGCCCCGGCUAACUUCGUG
RNAcentral lists this ribosomal RNA (435 nucleotides) under uncultured bacterium. RNAcentral's name for it is "partial 16S ribosomal RNA". It matches the Rfam family "Bacterial small subunit ribosomal RNA", at positions 29 to 507 of the family's 1533-position model. The record is from RNAcentral.